Molecule: ribosomal RNA, 2715 nt
Filed under: Salmonella enterica subsp. enterica serovar Typhimurium
Lineage: Bacteria; Pseudomonadati; Pseudomonadota; Gammaproteobacteria; Enterobacterales; Enterobacteriaceae
Description: bacterial LSU rRNA
Rfam family: Bacterial large subunit ribosomal RNA
Source: RNAcentral
CCCGAAUGGGGAAACCCAGUGUGAUUCGUCACACUAUCAUUAACUGAAUCCAUAGGUUAAUGAGGCGAACCGGGGGAACUGAAACAUCUAAGUACCCCGAGGAAAAGAAAUCAACCGAGAUUCCCCCAGUAGCGGCGAGCGAACGGGGAGGAGCCCAGAGCCUGAAUCAGCAUGUGUGUUAGUGGAAGCGUCUGGAAAGGCGCGCGAUACAGGGUGACAGCCCCGUACACAAAAGCGCAUGUGCUGUGAGCUCGAUGAGUAGGGCGGGACACGUGGUAUCCUGUCUGAAUAUGGGGGGACCAUCCUCCAAGGCUAAAUACUCCUGACUGACCGAUAGUGAACCAGUACCGUGAGGGAAAGGCGAAAAGAACCCCGGCGAGGGGAGUGAAAAAGAACCUGAAACCGUGUACGUACAAGCAGUGGGAGCNNNNNNNNNNNNNNNNNNNNNNNNNNNNNNNNNNNNNNNNNNNNNNNNNNNGGGCGUUAAGUUGCAGGGUAUAGACCCGAAACCCGGUGAUCUAGCCAUGGGCAGGUUGAAGGUUGGGUAACACUAACUGGAGGACCGAACCGACUAAUGUUGAAAAAUUAGCGGAUGACCUGUGGCUGGGGGUGAAAGGCCAAUCAAACCGGGAGAUAGCUGGUUCUCCCCGAAAGCUAUUUAGGUAGCGCCUCGUGAAUUCAUCUCCGGGGGUAGAGCACUGUUUCGGCUAGGGGGCCAUCCCGGCUUACCAACCCGAUGCAAACUGCGAAUACCGGAGAAUGUUAUCACGGGAGACACACGGCGGGUGCUAACGUCCGUCGUGAAGAGGGAAACAACCCAGACCGCCAGCUAAGGUCCCAAAGUCAUGGUUAAGUGGGAAACGAUGUGGGAAGGCCCAGACAGCCAGGAUGUUGGCUUAGAAGCAGCCAUCAUUUAAAGAAAGCGUAAUAGCUCACUGGUCGAGUCGGCCUGCGCGGAAGAUGUAACGGGGCUAAACCAUGCACCGAAGCUGCGGCAGCGAACGUAUCACCCAAGACAACUUUACGGAGUUGACGAUUGACGGAGCGAAGCGACGUCAAAGCGUUCAUUAAAGUCGAGUUGGCUUAGGGAUACGUUCGUUGGGUAGGGGAGCGUUCUGUAAGCCUGUGAAGGUGUGUCGUGAGGCAUGCUGGAGGUAUCAGAAGUGCGAAUGCUGACAUAAGUAACGAUAAAGCGGGUGAAAAGCCCGCUCGCCGGAAGACCAAGGGUUCCUGUCCAACGUUAAUCGGGGCAGGGUGAGUCGACCCCUAAGGCGAGGCCGAAAGGCGUAGUCGAUGGGAAACGGGUUAAUAUUCCCGUACUUGGUGUUACUGCGAAGGGGGGACGGAGAAGGCUAUGUUGGCCGGGCGACGGUUGUCCCGGUUUAAGCGUGUAGGUGUGUGUUCCAGGUAAAUCCGGUUCACUUUAACACUGAGGCGUGACGACGAGGCACUACGGUGCUGAAGCAACAAAUGCCCUGCUUCCAGGAAAAGCCUCUAAGCAUCAGGUAACACGAAAUCGUACCCCAAACCGACACAGGUGGUCAGGUAGAGAAUACCAAGGCGCUUGAGAGAACUCGGGUGAAGGAACUAGGCAAAAUGGUGCCGUAACUUCGGGAGAAGGCACGCUGACACGUAGGUGAAGUGAUUUACUCAUGGAGCUGAAGUCAGUCGAAGAUACCAGCUGGCUGCAACUGUUUAUUAAAAACACAGCACUGUGCAAACACGAAAGUGGACGUAUACGGUGUGACGCCUGCCCGGUGCCGGAAGGUUAAUUGAUGGGGUCAGCGCAAGCGAAGCUCCUGAUCGAAGCCCCGGUAAACGGCGGCCGUAACUAUAACGGUCCUAAGGUAGCGAAAUUCCUUGUCGGGUAAGUUCCGACCUGCACGAAUGGCGUAAUGAUGGCCAGGCUGUCUCCACCCGAGACUCAGUGAAAUUGAACUCGCUGUGAAGAUGCAGUGUACCCGCGGCAAGACGGAAAGACCCCGUGAACCUUUACUAUAGCUUGACACUGAACAUUGAGCCUUGAUGUGUAGGAUAGGUGGGAGGCUUUGAAGUGUGGACGCCAGUCUGCAUGGAGCCGACCUUGAAAUACCACCCUUUAAUGUUUGAUGUUCUAACGUGGACCCGUAAUCCGGGUUGCGGACAGUGUCUGGUGGGUAGUUUGACUGGGGCGGUCUCCUCCUAAAGAGUAACGGAGGAGCACGAAGGUUGGCUAAUCCUGGUCGGACAUCAGGAGGUUAGUGCAAUGGCAUAAGCCAGCUUGACUGCGAGCGUGACGGCGCGAGCAGGUGCGAAAGCAGGUCAUAGUGAUCCGGUGGUUCUGAAUGGAAGGGCCAUCGCUCAACGGAUAAAAGGUACUCCGGGGAUAACAGGCUGAUACCGCCCAAGAGUUCAUAUCGACGGCGGUGUUUGGCACCUCGAUGUCGGCUCAUCACAUCCUGGGGCUGAAGUAGGUCCCAAGGGUAUGGCUGUUCGCCAUUUAAAGUGGUACGCGAGCUGGGUUUAGAACGUCGUGAGACAGUUCGGUCCCUAUCUGCCGUGGGCGCUGGAGAACUGAGGGGGGCUGCUCCUAGUACGAGAGGACCGGAGUGGACGCAUCACUGGUGUUCGGGUUGUCAUGCCAAUGGCACUGCCCGGUAGCUAAAUGCGGAAGAGAUAAGUGCUGAAAGCAUCUAAGCACGAAACUUGCCCCGAGAUGAGUUCUCCCUGAGACUU